Molecule: non-coding RNA, 66 nt
Filed under: Oryza sativa (Asian cultivated rice)
Lineage: Eukaryota; Viridiplantae; Streptophyta; Magnoliopsida; Poales; Poaceae
Also listed under: 1 other name
Description: Xanthine-I sequence
Rfam family: Xanthine riboswitch aptamer (NMT1 RNA)
About the family: Later it was reported as a ncRNA that recognised Xanthine.
Source: RNAcentral
CCGGCGAGUAGAAGCGUUCAGCACGGUGGGGCCCUGCCCCGCCGUCGCCCGGAAAUUGCUCGAUCC